GCGCCCGUAGCUCAAUGGAUAGAGCACCGGCCUUCUAAGCCGGUGGUUGCAGGUUCGAUCCCUGCCGGGCGCGCCA
This 76-nucleotide transfer RNA is filed under the name Gammaproteobacteria bacterium. RNAcentral describes it as "tRNA-Arg". It matches the Rfam family "tRNA". Rfam says of the family: Transfer RNA (tRNA) molecules are approximately 80 nucleotides in length. The record is from RNAcentral. RNAcentral also lists the same sequence under 1 other name. Lineage: Bacteria; Pseudomonadati; Pseudomonadota; Gammaproteobacteria.